RNAcentral lists this ribosomal RNA (468 nucleotides) under uncultured bacterium. Its description in RNAcentral is "partial 16S ribosomal RNA". It matches the Rfam family "Bacterial small subunit ribosomal RNA", at positions 28 to 507 of the family's 1533-position model. The record is from RNAcentral.
GACGAACGCUGGCGGCGUGCUUAAUACGUGCAAGUCGAACGGAAAGGCCCUGCUUUUGUGGGGUGCUCGAGUGGCGAACGGGUGAGUAACACGUGAGUAACCUGCCCUUGACUUUGGGAUAACUUCAGGAAACUGGGGCUAAUACCGGAUAGGAGCUCCUGCUGCACGGCGGGGGUUGGUAAGUUUCGGCGGUUGGGGUUGGACUGGCGGCUCAUCAGCUUGUUGGUGGGGUAGUGGCUUACCAAGACUUUGACGGGUAGCCGGCCUGAGAGGGUGACCGGCCACAUUGCGACUGAGCUACGGCCCAGAGUCCUACGGGAGGCAGCAGUGGGGAAGAUUGCCCAAUGGGCGGAAGCCUGAUGCAGCAACGCCGCGUUCUGGAUGACGGCCUUCGGGUUGUAAACCGCUUUCGCCUGUGACGAAGCGUGAGUGACGGUAAUGGAUAAAGAAGCACCGGCUAACUACGUG